AUUAUAUAUUGGCAAACUAUUUGAAAGAAUAGGGCGCAAAACUAGAGGGGCUAAUUCUAUUUUGUAGAGAUGCCAGCCAGUUGCACGA
This 88-nucleotide non-coding RNA is filed under the name Halalkalibacter wakoensis. RNAcentral's name for it is "Bacillus wakoensis c-di-GMP sequence". It matches the Rfam family "c-di-GMP-I riboswitch aptamer". From Rfam's summary of the family: GEMM was predicted in a large-scale screen for bacterial structured RNA regulatory elements. Genes associated with GEMM are involved in a diverse array of functions, including chemotaxis regulation, signal transduction, secretion and chitin. The record is from RNAcentral. RNAcentral also lists the same sequence under 1 other name. Lineage: Bacteria; Bacillati; Bacillota; Bacilli; Caryophanales; Bacillaceae.